GGUACCCACAGAAGAAGUCCCGGCAAACUCCGUGCCAGCAGCCGCGGUAAUACGGAGGGGGCAAGCGUUGUUCGGAAUUAUUGGGCGUAAAGGGCAUGUAGGCGGUUCGGUAAGUUAAAGGUGAAAUGCCAGGGCUUAACCCUGGAGCUGCUUUUAAUACUGCCGGACUAGAGUCCGGGAGAGGAUAGCGGAAUUCCUAGUGUAGAGGUGAAAUUCGUAGAUAUUAGGAGGAACACCAGUGGCGAAGGCGGCUAUCUGGUCCGGUACUGACGCUGAGGUGCGAAAGCGUGGGGAGCAAACAGGA
This 304-nucleotide ribosomal RNA is filed under the name uncultured bacterium. RNAcentral's name for it is "bacterial SSU rRNA". It matches the Rfam family "Bacterial small subunit ribosomal RNA", at positions 474 to 777 of the family's 1533-position model. The record is from RNAcentral.